This 373-nucleotide RNase P RNA is filed under the name Salmonella enterica subsp. enterica serovar Typhimurium. RNAcentral describes it as "RNase P RNA component class A". It matches the Rfam family "Bacterial RNase P class A". From Rfam's summary of the family: Ribonuclease P (RNase P) is a ubiquitous endoribonuclease, found in archaea, bacteria and eukarya as well as chloroplasts and mitochondria. Lineage: Bacteria; Pseudomonadati; Pseudomonadota; Gammaproteobacteria; Enterobacterales; Enterobacteriaceae. The record is from RNAcentral.
GAAGCUGACCAGACAGUCGCCGCUUCGUCGUCGUCCUUUCGGGGAGACGGGCGGAGGGGAGGAAAGUCCGGGCUCCAUAGGGCAGGGUGCCGGUAACGCCCGGGGGGAAACCCACGACCAGUGCAACAGAGAGCAAACCGCCGAUGGCCCACGUAAGUGGGAUCAGGUAAGGGUGAAAGGGUGCGGUAAGAGCGCACCGCGCGGCUGGUAACAGUCCGUGGCACGGUAAACUCCACCCGGAGCAAGGCCAAAUAGGGGUUCAUAAGGUACGGCCCGUACUGAACCCGGGUAGGCUGCUUGAGCCAGUGAGCGAUUGCUGGCCUAGAUGAAUGACUGUCCACGACAGAACCCGGCUUAUCGGUCAGUUUCACUU